CACAAGUCUCCUCCACCACCACCUCCUGUUCACAAAUCCCCACCUUCACCUAAGAGUCCAUACAAGCACAAUUCUCCACCACCACCUUCACCUAACAGACCCUACAAAAACAAGUCUCCUCCACCACCACCACAUAAUAUACCCUACAAGUACAAGUCACCCCCACCACCAGUGUACAAAUCACCACCAUCACCGCCUCCCAUCUAUGAGUCUCCACCACCACCACCGAAGAGUCCCUAUGUUUACAAGUCCCCACCACCACCACCACCAAUGAAACCCUACAAGUACACCUCCCCACCACCACCAAAGAGUCCCUACACGUACACUUCUCCCCCUCCUCCUCAUCACUACUGAUCGAUAUCCCAUUAAGGUGUUAUAAAAGGUGAACUGACUAGACAAAAAUCCCACAUUACAUUUCUCUUAAACUUCUUUCAUUGCCGAGGACAAAUCAGAAUGGGUUUUUCUUCUUCAUUAUGCUAUAUUUUGGCAAUUACGCUUUACACCAAAAAAAAAAAAAGGCUUUAACUAUUAACAUCUAGUUAUUUUUCUUGCUACAGUAUGUCUCAUGCAUGCACUGACAAUACUUCCUGUAUCUUUGCAGGUAAGGAUUUGUUGAAAAAUAAAACAAGUAUGGGCUAACUACAAUGUCCACGCAAAGAUAAUGAAAGCAACAAAACAUGAGAAACGACAAUGAACACAAAGGGACAUGUUGAAUUCUCACUAUAGAUCUUCAUGUUUUGAGAUAACAGAAGUUGGUGACUGCGUGAAAGUGGCCCAUGUUAGUAUGUAGCUAAUUAGUACGUGUAACAGAGCAAUCUUAGUAGGUGUUUAAGUUUUUAUGUUGUGUGUCUUAUGGUUCUUGAUCUCUUGCAAAUGCUGGGAUUAUCGAUUGGCAC
This 896-nucleotide long non-coding RNA is filed under the name Coffea arabica (coffee). RNAcentral describes it as "long non-coding RNA (CARA_LNC006957)". Lineage: Eukaryota; Viridiplantae; Streptophyta; Magnoliopsida; Gentianales; Rubiaceae. The record is from RNAcentral.